CAACCUGAACUCAGUCGUGAUUACCCGCUGAACUUAAGCAUAUCAUUUAGCGGAGGAAAAGAAACUAAAAAGGAUUCCCCUAGUAACGGCGAGUGAAACGGGAAGAGCCCAGCGCCGAAUCGAUCAGUCUUUGGCUGCUUCGAAAUGUGGCGUAUAGGUGUAGUCUUCCAGCAGUGUCGUAUGUCCGAAGUCCUUGCGAUUGAGGCCAUAAACCAGAGAGGGUGCGAGCCCCGUUCUGGAUAGCGGCGCUGUUGGUUCGACUGCUCCUUGGAGUCGGGUUGCUUGAAAGUGCAGCCUAAAGUGGGUGAUAAACUUCAUCUAAUGCUAAAUAUUGACUCGAUUGCGAUAGCGAACAAGUACCGUGAGGGAAAGUUGCAAAGGACUUUGAAGAGAGAGUUCAAGAGAACGUGAAAUCGCUGGAGUGGAACCGGAGACAGUUGAUGUUGCUUGGAGACAAUCUUGGUGGCUGAUCGCUUAGCUGUGAUCGCCGCCGGGAGUCGUUCCUAUGCUACGCCGACGGCGUUGGCCGCUCGUUCUGGCCCGACAGUGUUGCCCAUCUCGCAAGAGACGGUGUCUUGUUGUCGGUCGUUGGUUCGUGGUGGCUAGCGUUUAGUUACGCUAGUGUGUGUGACGUCGGUGUGAAAGUCGACGACGUUUCCGACCCGUCUUGAAACACGGAUUACGGAGUGUUUGUCUGCUGCGAGUCAAAGGGUGUAAAAACCUUGCGGCGCAAUGAAAGUGAAGGUUAGUCUCGAACUGACCGACGUGGGAUCCGUGCUCUUCGGAGUGCGGCGCACCACGGCCCUAUGCGUGUCACUUGUGACUGUGUAGAGGUUGAGCAGUAGGCAAGCGACCCGAAAGAUGGUGAACUAUGCCUGAGCAGGAUGAAGCCAGAGGAAACUCUGGUGGAAGUCCGUAUCGGUUCUGACGUGCAAAUCGAUCGAUAGACUUGGGUAUAGGGG
Molecule: non-coding RNA, 962 nt
Filed under: Caenorhabditis japonica
Lineage: Eukaryota; Metazoa; Nematoda; Chromadorea; Rhabditida; Rhabditidae
Description: Eukaryotic large subunit ribosomal RNA
Rfam family: Eukaryotic large subunit ribosomal RNA
Source: Rfam by way of RNAcentral